AUGGCUGUACAUACAAGUUUCUUUCUUGGAUGUCUAUUAUCUGUUUUUCUGCUAGCUUUGAUUUCUCUUUUUGGUCAGUUGAAACGGUUAGUCUUGAUAGGUCGACCACUUAUAUUGUUUCGAAGGUUCAAUGAGCAUAUGAUAAAGAAAGGUAUCAAUAGAUUCACCAAUGUAGAUUACAAGAGUAAAGGUUUAUCUAAUGAGGCCUUGUCGCGGCGCUGCAAGUGUUGCCCCCCUCAUCCCCAAGGGCUAGGUGAAGGAGGGUGCAUGUGUGGUUCUUUUGCAGCUCGCAGCGAGGAUUCUUGUGUCCAACCUGCACAAGAAUGCCAAGAAGUCAUUCUCGGAUAUGAUUAA
RNAcentral lists this ribosomal RNA (354 nucleotides) under Triticum aestivum (bread wheat). RNAcentral's name for it is "partial small subunit ribosomal RNA". The record is from RNAcentral. Lineage: Eukaryota; Viridiplantae; Streptophyta; Magnoliopsida; Poales; Poaceae.